RNAcentral lists this transfer RNA (71 nucleotides) under Pteropus alecto (black flying fox). It matches the Rfam family "tRNA". From Rfam's summary of the family: Transfer RNA (tRNA) molecules are approximately 80 nucleotides in length. Their secondary structure includes four short double-helical elements and three loops (D, anti-codon, and T loops). Lineage: Eukaryota; Metazoa; Chordata; Mammalia; Chiroptera; Pteropodidae. The record is from Rfam by way of RNAcentral. RNAcentral also lists the same sequence under 1 other name.
GGCUCCAUAGUGUGGUUAGCACGUUUGCUUUACACGCAGAAGAUCCUGGUUUCGCACCCCAGGUAAAGCCA